Taeniopygia guttata (zebra finch) is the source of this 731-nucleotide long non-coding RNA. RefSeq lists it as uncharacterized. The record is from RefSeq and is a predicted model, not a curated record. NCBI's taxonomy places the organism in Eukaryota, Metazoa, Chordata, Aves, Passeriformes, Estrildidae.
AUGGCUCAUAGCAGGUCCAUGGAAACCACUCCAUCUGCACCUGAAAUUCGAAUGGGGCGGCCGCAGGAAGCACAGCCGAGCGCCCAGCCCGGCUCUGGAGCAGCCCCGGAACUCUCUGCCUCAGCGCGGCUUCACCGCCCCGCCCGCGCGGGGUCACGCGCGCUGUUCUCGCCAAUAGGCAGCGGCGGCUGGAGCGCGUGGGUCUCGCGGGAGCGCGGGCCGGUAUUUAAUGGCCGGCGAGGGGCGGCUCAGCCUUUCUGUUCGCCGGCCGAGGGCGUGUGUGUGCCGAGUGCCGGCGAGCCCUUGACAUGCUCCCGAUGGGCAGGAGGCCAAGCGCGGCAGGCCGGGGCAGGGGGAAGCGCUGGCGAUCUGCGCUCAGCCUUUGUACCCCCAUGGGUGAGGGGCACACCGAGAUCAUCACUCCUCCUACAGCCUGGGGCUGGAAUGAAGACAAUGUGUGCCAGGAACUGACAUUAAACAUCAGUUUUAUGAUUUCCUGAGUGGGUGAUUUCUGACUUCAUACAAGAUGAUUCCAGUUGUCAUCUCUAAGUAUUGUCUUGGAAGUAGAAUUGAGACAAGCAAUGGCUUAAAUUAUGUGUUCAAUGAUGAUGUUGAAACAGGCAUCUUACCAUUUGUUGGAACAGGUUUCCUAACAAAAACUGCUGUAAUUUGACUGUUUGUGGAUUAAUUGAAAUAAAUUAUGAGUAUUAAUUAAAUGUAUGCUACUAAAA